Molecule: long non-coding RNA, 417 nt
Organism: Daphnia carinata
Lineage: Eukaryota; Metazoa; Arthropoda; Branchiopoda; Diplostraca; Daphniidae
Exons: 3
Source: RefSeq, a predicted model, not a curated record
GGCAAGUGUUGAGUUUCGCGAUAUUGGGUGCUGAUGUCGAAAAAUUUCUCAAGUUUUAAGAACACAUCUACCAUACGCGUUUUACAACCAGACAUGGAUAAAGUUACAUGCCUCGUUGCAUCACAUGUACUGUAGAUCCCGCGUCCCGUGCCAUGUGGUCUGCAGUUGUAUCCUAUGGUAUUUGUUGCAUCCAGUCAUUUGAGAUGUGAACAUGUUUGCUGUGGAUAAAUGUGUUCAUAGAAAGUGCUGGAUGAUGGAUGUAAUACGGAUUAGAAAAGCAAUUGCCGGACACCAAGACGGACGGCAAGAAGCCAUGGAUCAUAAAACAAUAACCAGAUCACCACCACCGAUUGUCUAUCAAUAAUGAAUGCAUUCAUCCAUUGCGUCGAUAACUGCACCAUAAGUAUAAUAUGUGGA